This 254-nucleotide ribosomal RNA is filed under the name uncultured bacterium. RNAcentral's name for it is "partial 16S ribosomal RNA". It matches the Rfam family "Bacterial small subunit ribosomal RNA", at positions 524 to 776 of the family's 1533-position model. The record is from RNAcentral.
UACGUAGGGUGCGAGCGUUAUCCGGAAUUACUGGGCGUAAAGAGCUCGUAGGUGGUUUGUCGCGUCGUCUGUGAAAUUCCGGGGCUUAACUCCGGGAAUGCAGGUGAUACCGGCAUGACUUGAGUACUGCAGGGGAGACUGGAAUUCCUGGUGUAGCGGUGAAAUGCGUAGAGAUGAGGAGGAACACCGAUGGCGAAGGCAGGUCUCUGGGAAGUAACUGACGCUGAGGAGCGAAAGCGUGGGGAGCGAACAGG